ACAGAGGGUGCGAGCGUUAAUCGGAAUUACUGGGCGUAAAGGGCGCGUAGGCGGUUGGUUAAGUUAGGUGUGAAAUUCCUGGGCUCAACCUGGGGACUGCAUUUGAUACUGAUUGACUAGAGUAUGGUAGAGGGGAGUGGAAUUUCCGGUGUAGCGGUGAAAUGCGUAGAUAUCGGGAAGAACACCGGUGGCGAAGGCGGCCAUCUGGACCGCAACUGACGCUGAGGCGCGAAAGCGUGGGGAGCAAACAGGA
This 253-nucleotide ribosomal RNA is filed under the name uncultured prokaryote. Its description in RNAcentral is "partial 16S ribosomal RNA". It matches the Rfam family "Bacterial small subunit ribosomal RNA", at positions 525 to 777 of the family's 1533-position model. The record is from RNAcentral.